Molecule: ribosomal RNA, 253 nt
Filed under: uncultured bacterium
Lineage: Bacteria
Description: partial 16S ribosomal RNA
Rfam family: Bacterial small subunit ribosomal RNA
Source: RNAcentral
UACGGAGGGUGCAAACGUUGCUCGGAAUCAUUGGGCGUAAAGCGCACGUAGGCGGCUUGUUAAGUCGGAUGUGAAAGCCCUGGGCUCAACUCAGGAAGUGCAUUCGAAACUGGCAAGCUUGAAUAUGGAAGAGGGUCGCGGAAUUCCCGGUGUAGAGGUGAAAUUCGUAGAUAUCGGGAGGAACACCAGUGGCGAAGGCGGCGACCUGGGCCAAUAUUGACGCUGAGGUGCGAAAGCGUGGGGAGCAAACAGG